Molecule: non-coding RNA, 102 nt
Organism: Acanthosepion pharaonis
Lineage: Eukaryota; Metazoa; Mollusca; Cephalopoda; Sepiida; Sepiidae
Source: the annotation of a GenBank genome assembly
CUACGUUGAAACACCGGUUCCCGUACGAUCGCCGAAGUUAAGCAACUUUGAGGCUGGUCAGUACCUAGAUGGGUGACCGCUUGGGAAUACCAUGUGUGGUAA